This 29-nucleotide non-coding RNA is filed under the name Rattus norvegicus (Norway rat). Lineage: Eukaryota; Metazoa; Chordata; Mammalia; Rodentia; Muridae. The record is from RNAcentral.
UAACCUACUUAGUGUUUCCACCAUGGGUU